This 253-nucleotide ribosomal RNA is filed under the name uncultured bacterium. Its description in RNAcentral is "partial 16S ribosomal RNA". It matches the Rfam family "Bacterial small subunit ribosomal RNA", at positions 524 to 776 of the family's 1533-position model. The record is from RNAcentral.
CACGUAGGGGGCAAGCGUUGUCCGGAAUUACUGGGCGUAAAGGGUGCGUAGGCGGCAUAUUAAGUCAGGUGUGAAACCCCACGGCUCAACUGUGGGCUUGCACAUGAAACUGGUAUGCUUGAGUACAGGAGAGGAAAGCGGAAUUCCUAGUGUAGUGGUGAAAUGCGUAGAUAUUAGGAAGAACACCAGUGGCGAAGGCGGCUUUCUGGACUGUAACUGACGCUGAGGCACGAAAGCGUGGGGAGCAAACAGG